Molecule: ribosomal RNA, 482 nt
Filed under: uncultured bacterium
Lineage: Bacteria
Description: bacterial SSU rRNA
Rfam family: Bacterial small subunit ribosomal RNA
Source: RNAcentral
UUGAACGCUGGCGGAAUGCUUUACACAUGCAAGUCGGGCGGCAGCGCGGGGGCAACCCUGGCGGCGAGCGGCGAACGGGUGAGUAACAUAUCGGAACGUACCCAGACGUGGGGGACAACUAGUCGAAAGACUAGCUAAUACCGCAUACGUCCUGAGGGAGAAAGCGGGGGAUCGCAAGGCCUCGCGCGUUUGGAGCGGCCGAUAUCUUAUUAGCUAGAUGGUGGGGUAAAGGCCCACCAUGGCGACGAUCAGUAGCUGGUCUGAGAGGAUGAGCAGCCACACUGGAACUGAGACACGGUCCAGACGCCUACGGGAGGCAGCAGUGGGGAAUUUUGGACAAUGGGGGAAACCCUGAUCCAGCCAUUCCGCGUGAGUGAAGAAGGCCUUCGGGUUGUAAAGCUCUUUCGGCAGGAACGAAACGGCGGAAUCUAAUACAUUCCACUAAUGACGGUACCUGAAGAAGAAGCACCGGCUAACUACGU